RNAcentral lists this ribosomal RNA (520 nucleotides) under uncultured bacterium. RNAcentral describes it as "bacterial SSU rRNA". It matches the Rfam family "Bacterial small subunit ribosomal RNA", at positions 990 to 1509 of the family's 1533-position model. The record is from RNAcentral.
AGAGAACUUAGCAGAGAUGCUUUGGUGCCUUCGGGAACUCUGAGACAGGUGCUGCAUGGCUGUCGUCAGCUCGUGUUGUGAAAUGUUGGGUUAAGUCCCGCAACGAGCGCAACCCUUAUCCUUUGUUGCCAGCGGCUCGGCCGGGAACUCAAAGGAGACUGCCGGUGAUAAACCGGAGGAAGGUGGGGAUGACGUCAAGUCAUCAUGGCCCUUACGGCCAGGGCUACACACGUGCUACAAUGGCGCAUACAAAGAGAAGCGACCUCGCGAGAGCAAGCGGACCUCAUAAAGUGCGUCGUAGUCCGGAUUGGAGUCUGCAACUCGACUCCAUGAAGUCGGAAUCGCUAGUAAUCGUAGAUCAGAAUGCUACGGUCGAAUACGUUCCCGGGCCUUGUACACACCGCCCGUCACACCAUGGGAGUGGGUUGCAAAAGAAGUAGGUAGCUUAACCUUCGGGAGGGCGCUUACCACUUUGUGAUUCAUGACUGGGGUGAAGUCGUAACAAGGUAGGCGUAGCGAG